RNAcentral lists this ribosomal RNA (253 nucleotides) under uncultured bacterium. RNAcentral describes it as "partial 16S ribosomal RNA". It matches the Rfam family "Archaeal small subunit ribosomal RNA", at positions 474 to 727 of the family's 1478-position model. The record is from RNAcentral.
UACCAGCACCCCGAGGGGUCGGGACGAUUAUUGGGCCUAAAGCAUCCGUAGCCGGUUCUACAAGUCUUCCGUUAAAUCUACCUGCUCAACAGUUGGGCUGCGGAGGAUACUAUAGAGCUAGGAGGCGGGAGAGGCAAGCGGUACUCAGUGGGUAGGGGUAAAAUCCGUUGAUCCACUGAAGACCACCAGUGGCGAAGGCGGCUUGCCAGAACGCACUCGACGGUGAGGGAUGAAAGCUGGGGGAGCAAACCGG